RNAcentral lists this ribosomal RNA (483 nucleotides) under uncultured bacterium. RNAcentral's name for it is "bacterial SSU rRNA". It matches the Rfam family "Bacterial small subunit ribosomal RNA", at positions 29 to 487 of the family's 1533-position model. The record is from RNAcentral.
AACAAACGCUGGCGGCGUGCCUAACACAUGCAAGUCGAACGAGAAAGUCGGUUUCGGCCGAUGAGUAAAGUGGCGCACGGGUGAGUAAUGCGUGGAUAAUCUGCCCUUUAGUUGGGAAUAACGUACCGAAAGGUGCGCUAAUACCUGAUAAUACUGCAUAACUACUGUUGUGUAGUCAAAGAAGGCCUCUGUUUACAAGCUUUUGCUGAAGGAUGAGUCCGCGUACCAUUAGCUGGUUGGUGGGGUAAUGGCCUACCAAGGCUACGAUGGUUAGCUGGUCUGAGAGGAUGAUCAGCCACACUGGAACUGAGACACGGUCCAGACUCCUACGGGAGGCAGCAGUGAGGAAUAUUGCGCAAUGGGGGCAACCCUGACGCAGCAACGCCGCGUGAGUGAGGAAGGUUUUCGGACCGUAAAGCUCUGUCGAGCGGGAAGAAAUGUAUCAUGGCUAAUAUCCAUGAUACUUGACGGUACCGCUAAAGG